GUGGGGAAUAUUGGGCAAUGGGCGCAAGCCUGAUCCAGCCAUGCCGCGUGCAGGAAGACGCAUCUAUGGUGUGUAAACUGCUUUUGUACGGGAAGAAACACUCCCUCGUGAGGGAGCUUGACGGUACCGUAAGAAUAAGGAUCGGCUAACUCCGUGCCAGCAGCCGCGGUAAUACGGAGGAUCCAAGCGUUAUCCGGAAUCAUUGGGUUUAAAGGGUCCGUAGGCGGUUUAAUAAGUCAGUGGUGAAAGCCCAUCGCUCAACGAUGGAACGGCCAUUGAUACUGUUAGACUUGAAUUACAAGGAAGUAACUAGAAUAUGUAGUGUAGCGGUGAAAUGCUUAGAUAUUACAUGGAAUACCAAUUGCGAAGGCAGGUUACUACUUGUGGAUUGACGCUGAUGGACGAAAGCGUGGGGAGCGAACAGGAUUAGAAACCCGUGUAGUCC
RNAcentral lists this ribosomal RNA (445 nucleotides) under uncultured bacterium. RNAcentral's name for it is "partial 16S ribosomal RNA". It matches the Rfam family "Bacterial small subunit ribosomal RNA", at positions 354 to 796 of the family's 1533-position model. The record is from RNAcentral.